UUUCAUCAUUGUUUAUUCCAAUGAGACACUGAAAUGGCCAGGAAAAACAAUCUUAGAAUGGCAGACAGAUAUAAGGGCUGCUGUAAUCGCUGCAAAAGGUGCAUCAACAAACUAUUGAGCAAAGGCUGUGAAUACUGAUGUACGUGUGACAUUUCAGGUUUUUAUUUGUAAUAAAUUUGCAACAAUUUCAAAACCUUUUUUUUUUGCAUUGUCAUUAUAGGGUAUUGUUUGUAGAAUUUUGAGGAAAUAAAUGAGUUUAAUCCAUUUUGGAAUAAGGCUGUAACAUAAAAAAAUGUGGAAUAAGUGAAGCGCUAUACUUUCCGCAUGCACUGUAUACUCAACAACUUCAAAUCUUUUAUGCAGCCCUAGUCACAGCUAAUGUACUGAAAUACUUCACUCACCAUCAAUGCGUUGCACACGAUAAGCCCAAUAUGAUUGAAGAUUUGAGUGCUCUCGUUUUGAUCUUGAUCAGCUGAAUCAAUGGUAAGAUUUGGC
Non-coding RNA from Danio rerio (zebrafish), 495 nucleotides. Lineage: Eukaryota; Metazoa; Chordata; Actinopteri; Cypriniformes; Danionidae. The record is from Ensembl.